GAUGAAGAACGUAGCGAAAUGCGAUAAGUAGUGUGAAUUGCAGAAUUCCGUGAAUCAUCGAAUCUUUGAACGCACAUUGCGCCCCUUGGUAUUCCAUGGGGCAUGCCUGUUCGAGCGUCAUUUGUACCCUCAAGCUUUGCUUGGUGUUGGGCGUCUUGUCGUAUUACGACUCGCCUUAAAUACAUUGGCAGCCGGCACUUUGGCCUAGGAGCGCAGCACAUUUUGCGAUCGUAGCCCGUUGUACUGGCGUCCAUCAAGAACAUUUACCACGUUUGACCUCGGAUCAGGUAGGGAUACCCGCUGAACUUAAGCAUAUCAAUAAGCGGAGGA
This 330-nucleotide unclassified non-coding RNA is filed under the name soil metagenome. Its description in RNAcentral is "partial contains 5.8S ribosomal RNA, internal transcribed spacer 2, and large subunit ribosomal RNA". The stretch from base 1 to 120 matches the Rfam family "5.8S ribosomal RNA", at positions 35 to 154 of the family's 154-position model. The record is from RNAcentral.